UCGGGAAUUUUGGGCAAUGGGCGAAAGCCUGACCCAGCAACGCCGCGUGAAGGAUGAAGUAUUUCGGUAUGUAAACUUCGAAAGAAUAGGAAGAAUAAAUGACGGUACUAUUUAUAAGCUCCGGCUAACUACGUGCCAGCAGCCGCGGUAAUACGUAGGGAGCAAGCGUUGUUCGGAUUUACUGGGCGUAAAGGGCGCGUAGGCGGCGCGGUAAGUCACUUGUGAAAUCUCUGAGCUUAACUCAGAACGGCCAAGUGAUACUGCAGUGCUAGAGUGCAGAAGGGGCAAUCGGAAUUCUUGGUGUAGCGGUGAAAUGCGUAGAUAUCGGAAGGAACAUCAGUGGCGAAGGCGUCUACCUGGCCUAAUACUGACACUGAGGCACGAAAGCGUGGGGAGCAAACAGGAUUAGAUACCCAGGUAGUCCUGAGCGGGCUGGCAAGGCGCAU
Molecule: ribosomal RNA, 446 nt
Filed under: uncultured bacterium
Lineage: Bacteria
Description: bacterial SSU rRNA
Rfam family: Bacterial small subunit ribosomal RNA
Source: RNAcentral